This 947-nucleotide ribosomal RNA is filed under the name Natrinema thermotolerans. RNAcentral describes it as "bacterial SSU rRNA". It matches the Rfam family "Archaeal small subunit ribosomal RNA", at positions 477 to 1427 of the family's 1478-position model. The record is from RNAcentral. Lineage: Archaea; Methanobacteriati; Methanobacteriota; Halobacteria; Halobacteriales; Natrialbaceae.
CGGCGCCGAGUGAUGACCGCUAUUAUUGGGCCUAACGCGUCCGUAGCUGGCCAUGCAAGUCCAUCGGGAAAUCCGCGCGCUUAACGCGCGGGCGUCCGGUGGAAACUGCAUGGCUUGGGACCGGAAGACCAGAGGGGUACGUCCGGGGUAGGAGUGAAAUCCCGUAAUCCUGGACGGACCACCGGUGGCGAAAGCGCCUCUGGAAGACGGAUCCGACGGUGAGGGACGAAAGCUCGGGUCACGAACCGGAUUAGAUACCCGGGUAGUCCGAGCUGUAAACGAUGUCUGCUAGGUGUGGCACAGGCUACGAGCCUGUGCUGUGCCGCAGGGAAGCCGUGAAGCAGACCGCCUGGGAAGUACGUCCGCAAGGAUGAAACUUAAAGGAAUUGGCGGGGGAGCACUACAACCGGAGGAGCCUGCGGUUUAAUUGGACUCAACGCCGGACAUCUCACCAGCAUCGACAAUGUGCAGUGAAAGUCAGGUUGAUGACCUUACUGGAGCCAUUGAGAGGAGGUGCAUGGCCGCCGUCAGCUCGUACCGUGAGGCGUCCUGUUAAGUCAGGCAACGAGCGAGACCCGCACUCCUAAUUGCCAGCAACACCUAGCGGUGGUUGGGUACAUUAGGAGGACUGCCAGUGCCAAACUGGAGGAAGGAACGGGCAACGGUAGGUCAGUAUGCCCCGAAUGUGCUGGGCGACACGCGGGCUACAAUGGCCGAGACAGUGGGAUGCAACCCCGAAAGGGGGCGCUAAUCUCCGAAACUCGGUCGUAGUUCGGAUUGAGGGCUGAAACUCGCCCUCAUGAAGCUGGAUUCGGUAGUAAUCGCGCCUCAGAAGGGCGCGGUGAAUACGUCCCUGCUCCUUGCACACACCGCCCGUCAAAGCACCCGAGUGGGGUCCGGAUGAGGCCGAGCGCAACGUCGGUCGAAUCUGGGCUCCGCCAAGGGAC